GCCAGCAGCCGCGGUAAUACAGAGGGUGCGAGCGUUAAUCGGAUUUACUGGGCGUAAAGCGCGCGUAGGUGGUUAAUUAAGUCAAAUGUGAAAUCCCCGAGCUUAACUUGGGAAUUGCAUUCGAUACUGGUUAGCUAGAGUAUGGGAGAGGAUGGUAGAAUUCCAGGUGUAGCGGUGAAAUGCGUAGAGAUCUGGAGGAAUACCGAUGGCGAAGGCAGCCAUCUGGCCUAAUACUGACACUGAGGUGCGAAAGCAUGGGGAGCAAACAGGAUUAGAUACCCUGGUAGUCCAUGCCGUAAACGAUGUCUACUAGCCGUUGGGGGAUUUGAUCCUUUAGUGGCGCAGCUAACGCGAUAAGUAGACCGCCUGGGGAGUACGGUCGCAAGACUAAAACUCAAAUGAAUUGACGGGGGCCCGCACAAGCGGUGGAGCAUGUGGUUUAAUUCGAUGCAACGCGAAGAACCUUACCUGGCCUUGACAUAGUAGAGACUUUCCAGAGAUGGAUUGGUGCCUUCGGGAAUCUACAUACAGGUGCUGCAUGGCUGUCGUCAGCUCGUGUCGUGAGAUGUUGGGUUAAGUCCCGCAACGAGCGCAACCCUUUUCCUUACUUGCCAGCAUUUCGGAUGGGAACUUUAAGGAUACUGCCAGUGACAAACUGGAGGAAGGCGGGGACGACGUCA
This 680-nucleotide ribosomal RNA is filed under the name uncultured bacterium. RNAcentral's name for it is "bacterial SSU rRNA". It matches the Rfam family "Bacterial small subunit ribosomal RNA", at positions 507 to 1187 of the family's 1533-position model. The record is from RNAcentral.